CAAAAUAUAGCAUAACAAAUGCAUCUCACUUACACUGAGAAGAAUGGUCCACAACCUAUUUUGA
Molecule: transfer RNA, 64 nt
Filed under: Eulepethus nanhaiensis
Lineage: Eukaryota; Metazoa; Annelida; Polychaeta; Phyllodocida; Eulepethidae
Description: tRNA-Val
Source: RNAcentral